Molecule: long non-coding RNA, 2276 nt
Organism: Cygnus olor (mute swan)
Lineage: Eukaryota; Metazoa; Chordata; Aves; Anseriformes; Anatidae
Exons: 2
Source: RefSeq, a predicted model, not a curated record
CCCCUAUUGGCACCCGUCCACCAGGCUGCCUGAAACAAAGUUCAGAAAAAAAUUCCAGAAUGGGAUUUGCGGUGUUUUCCCCUGCUUUCAGCCCUGCAUUUCCUCUUAACAAGUAAAAUCAAAUGGCAGUGAUGUUCCAAAGUCUUCCUGAAUGGCAACAUUAUAAAUAUUCCCUUUAUAAGAAGACUGAAAGAAGUAGUUUAAGCAUUGCAUGCAGCCACUCCAGUAGGAAGUUGUUUAACUUGUCUAAAUCUCUCUUUUGCUGCAGAAGCUCUAUUGAAAAUGACAAAUUGCUUAAAGCAGUUUCCAUGUUAGUCUUUAAAAAAUUCUGCUUCUUUCCAUCCCGAACACGUGGAAGGCAUUUGUGCACUUGACUGAAUGUUUCUCUGUCCUAAGGCUUACACUUAGUGGUUUUUGCCUUCAUGUAAUUUUCACACGCAGCUGCUCGGGUUUGUUUUCGUCAACUUCCCAUUGGAUGGGGAUUUUUUUUUUCCAGUGCGUGAGCUUAGACAUGAAAAGUCAACUAUCUCCCCGGCUCAGACGCUGGGACCACGGGGAAGGCGGAGGAGGAACGCCGCGAGGUUCUCGCUUUUCAGAAGCGCUGUUCUGGGUGUUACGAAAUCCGUAACGCGGGCUGGGAAGCUUGUGUCCACGGCCAGGCUGCUGCGAUGUCCUUUAAAACAGUGAAGCGCUGAGCAGCGUUAAUGCUUCACAAGAUGACAAAAGAGCUUUUCCUUAAUGUUUUCAGUUACUUCCCUUAGCUGCCACUUUCCCAGAAGGAUGCACGUGGGCAGGUACCGUACACAGAGCCAGAGCUGCCUGUAACUGCUGUAGAAGGAAAACUUGCUCAGUUGAAAAGGCCUUUUUUUCUCUUAUUUUAAAGAAAAGAGAAGUUUUGAGUCAUCCAGCGUGCUCAGCUGACUUUGCCCAGAGCCGCGUGCUGUGUAGCCAGCGAGGAUGUGUUACCCAGCCUUGGCUGUGUGGCAGAAGCGGGAGGACCUCAGUGCAGAGGAGAAGCAGGGCUCCUCAGCAAUGCUGACCAAGUGGCAGGCUCUGAAAAUAAAGUGGAAAUGGUGCUUCCGGAGCCUCAGCAGGCUGAUUUGGGGCUCCCUAUGCUCUUCACUUCACCUGGUAUGAGUUGCACCAUCGUAUUAACUUGCAAUUAAUUUGGUUGCAACCAGGUUGCUGCUGGUGUGCUCCCGGCGUGGCUUUGGGCUGUGCCCCAGCCGGUGAAGCCGAGGGAACAAACUGUUCCCCGCCGGCCGGGAGGUUCUUUGCCCCAGGUGGCAUCGGAUGGAGAGAAGUCAGCGUUACCCCACUGCUCGGCUUGAGAAAGCCCUGUUGCUCAAGAGGGAUGCUUGCUGAAUUAGGCAGCGGUCAAGAGGCGAUGUGAGGACAAUCCAGAUGCUUUUUCUAUAACUGGGAGGCAUGUCCCAUCCUGGCACUUCUAUUUAUACCCACUUUUCUUGUAAUAUUAUUAUUUUUUCUCAGUCUGUUAUGAGCCCAUCAUUUUUGGUGAGUUUGGGCUGAUGAGAUACUGACUUCUUAGCAGCUAUUGGUUUUGCUCUGUUUUUUGCUACUUUCUUUGCUGCACAUUUUGCUACUUUUUUUUUUUUUUUUUUUUUGACUCCUGGCUUUGUUUUUCUCCUGGUGUGUUGGCUCAGGAAAUUAACUCGGUGCCGGAAUGCUGCUGCUUUCUUUGCUGUAGGAUGCGUCACUGCACAGUGAGAACCUCCUUUCAGCCUCCAAAAAGCAACGCUUACCAUCUCUGGGGUCGGGAGUCUGUGCAGCAGCCUGCCUUCCUGCAUCUUUCUAGUGCCGUGUAAGCAAGUGUAAAAUCUGUGUAUUAUACCAAUUUACUUUUGGUGGGAUUUGUCCUGACACGUCCAAAGCUUCUGACUCUUGGUGCGUUGUAUGAGCAACUUCUUUAUUAUGGAGCCCUGGGGACAAGACCCGGUUUAAAAUGAAGUUGUGCAGGUAAAAGCAGAAUAUACGCCUGUGGCUGGCAACUGAGCUAACCGAGGUGUUCGUGUUCUGCUCUGCGUUUCGUCUCGAGUGCUGCACUCCCAAUGGCACCGCGUGGCUCCGGUCUGAGCCCCGGCUCAGCCAAGACAGAAGCCGUCUCGCGAGGGCUGCGCCUGGUGUCCAGGAUUUCACAGGAGGAGAGGCCGAUAGCAGCAAUUCCUCAUCUGCCUGCACGAGGAUACUGCCUCAGUUUUCUCGUAUGUGCUGCUUCUACUUAGGUCAGCCAGCUUUUUGAAUUAAAAGAUGCGUAC